AUGGAAAGGAGGUGUGGGGGUGGGGUGGACGUGAUGAUUAUGGCGGGGGGGGGAGGGUGUAGGUGGGGCAGGAAGGAGAGCGGGAAAGCCCUGCUGCUGAUGCCGUGUAUGUGUGUACGUGAGGAGACACCACACCCCCAGAAGUACCCUGUAGAAACACCCGUGCCUCAGCCUUCCAGGCCAUGCAGUACCUACCUCACCAGCAGCAGGGCUACACUGUACACUGCCACAUGACCUCUCAGCCAGGUACCUUACACUUGUGUGCCUGUGUCUACUAAUGUCUGUUGUAGGCCUCACAGUUGUGAUUGUGGCAUGUAACGUAUAAGAAGGUGUAUGUGUAAUGGUGCUGGGAUGACUUGGUGAACUGACUGUACUACUCACUUACUAUUCCCUAGCUCCCCCUGGCAGACAGAGAGAGGGACAGGGACAAAGAGAGGGACAGGGACAGAGAGCGGGACAGGGACUCAGGAGGGUGGUAAUGGUGCCGGUGGGAUCGUCUCUAGAAGGUCAUCUUGCCAGGAGGCGAACUCUUCCUCCAAGUAUUCCCACCCUUCACACCACUCAGAGCGAGGGAGAGGGGCUACAAAUGGGAUAGCGUGGGCUACAGAGACCACAGCAGACAACGUAACCACCACUCACACAACCACCGCAGCAGCAGUCGGAGGCGAAGCAGCAGCCACAAUCAGGACAUCAGCGACAGGGAGAGACAGAGACAGCAACUGCUCCAACAGCUCUGACCCUAGAUUCAACUCCAACUCCCACCAUUCCUCCAACAGCCUAUCCCCACCUCUGUCCUCCUCCUACCCCUCCUAGUCCUCCUUUUCCUCUAAAGACCUACCCCUCAGUCUCCUCUUGCCUAGAGCCCUACUCCGUGUACCAUGCCCAGAACAGUUGGGCUGGUUCUGGGGAGAGGAGCUCUGAGUCUAAUAACAACGACUCCCUCCACCUUGCCUCCCCGUGUCCCUACUACAGAUGACCAGACUAGUCUCCAUGGAACAUGCCAACCUGGGCCUAAUGUUCCAAGGACCAGACUGGGGGCACACACACACCUGGACAGAAUCACCCUGUUCUUGGAAAUAUUGUAGGAAUCUGAUUGUACUGAAACAUUGGUGUAUUGUUAGCAGGGAUUGUGCAUUGAUACAAAGGUGUAUGACAAUCAUGAAUUCUCUCCUUUCCAUCCUGUAGUCAUCCCUUCAUUCCUCUGUGGAAAACAUUGAGAUCUAAGACGAGGAUGAGGGACACACCAUUACCAUCACCAUUACACCAUUACCUACACUCACAUACACACACACACACACACACACACACAUUCACGCUAUGACUGCUGCUAUUGGACUUAUAUUGUUACUGCACAACUAUUGCACAAUUCAACAUUGUUAUUUAAAUAGAUGCCGCCCAUAUCGGCGCAUCCUCUUCACCGGUGCCAGCAUUCACAAGGAAGGUAUAAAAGGCUUAUGCCGGCAAGAAUGUGGUAAAAAUGGGCCUUUCUUUAAAAGGGGUCAUAUAAACAUUGCCCCACUUUUUUUUUUUUUUACAGGCAACACACUGUAAAUCCUAUGUUAAAAGUGUAUUAUGUUCCCUGAUGUCUUGGAGAACCACGUGUAUAGAAGAUUAGUUAAUAAUGACAGAAAAGGUAAUUCCGAUUCAGGAAACUAGGGGUAUGUCUCAAGUGACGACUUCACAGGAGCGUUGUUAAAACAUAACAAAAAAAUAUUUUAUCAAAAUGCGUUUUUUGGCAGAAAUGCCUUCUGUGACAUGUGAACUCAUGUGCCUUUAUAACAAACUUGUAUGCCAUCUGUAAAUACGAAUAAAAUUGUUAAAUUACGAGCCUUGUUGGUUAAGCCACAGAAAAAGACAGCAAUCUUCCACUAGCCAUGAUUGGCUGAGAUAAUGAUUGGGCUUGACAUGCCGAGAGAUGAGUUCCGAUUGGCCUCCCAUAUAGAAGGCUUCUGUCUAUUUGAGCUCGUCAGUCAGUAUGUGUUGGUAAUCCUGUCGAAAGCUUAUUUUAUUGAUGUAUUGUGUGGUGGAGCUGCAUAAGUGUUGCUCUCCACUUUCUGGAGGAUCAUGUUUUGAAGUCAAUGGAAUUAGAGUAUGACAGCUACAGAGAUGGAGAAAACACUUGUCUCCAGAUUACAUCUUCAAACUAAGGGCAACCGUGGUAUGACAUUCCUGACAGGGAGACGCAUCCAUCAUGCAUGAUGAUGUAUACAGGUAAGAUACAGUGCCUUGCGAAAGUAUUCGGCCCCCUUGAACUUUGCGACCUUUUGCCACAUUUCAAGCUUCAAACAUAAAUAUAUAAAACUGUAUUUUUUUUGUGAAGAAUCAACAACAAGUGGGACACAAUCAUGAAGUGGAACGACAUUUAUGGGAUAUUUCAAACUGUUUUAACAAAUCAAAAACUGAAAAAUUGGGCGUGCAAAAUUAUUCAGCCCCUUUACUUUCAGUGCAGCAAACUCUCUCCAGAAGUUCAGUGAGGAUCUCUGAAUGAUCCAAUGUUGACCUAAAUGACUAAUGAUGAUAAAUACAAUCCACCUGUGUGUAAUCAAGUCUCCGUAUAAAUGCACCUGCACUGUGAUAGUCUCAGAGGUCCG
Molecule: long non-coding RNA, 2591 nt
Organism: Oncorhynchus mykiss (rainbow trout)
Lineage: Eukaryota; Metazoa; Chordata; Actinopteri; Salmoniformes; Salmonidae
Source: Ensembl